UUUGUCAACGAGUUCAAGUGGGCGCUGGGCUGGAGGGCCCUCCCACAGGAAGGGUGAAGCCAAGUGGGGGCGGCCCCUGCUUUGACAAAAGGCUGCAUCCGGGCCCCUUCCCACCAACCAGAACUGUGAAGAGUGUUUUCCCUUCUACAAAAACUAAAAAGGCACAGCAUCCGGGCACCAGUUAGCAACGGUGACUGCACCCAGGAUGGCUGUGUGAUUGGGGGAGGGCUUCUUUUGGUCUGGGAACACUCAAAAUGUGUCUCUGGGAAUUAAUCGUAAAGGUCUUCUCACAAGCUCUGCUUUUCAACCACGCAGGGCCACCGGGACUGGAGUUUUUGUUGCCCUUUGGCACCACCUGGUGGCCACUCAGCACAUUGCGCUGCUAGAUUUGGUUUCUGUCUGUUGAGUGAGGGCCACCCUGCCCAUCCCAGAAGCAGCCAAUGCUUUUCUUAACGUUUCCUCUAGGUUGGGGAGGAUGGUUCUGGGCAGCCCAGCAAGGCUGCCUGCCCGCGCUCUCUGCUAUAUGUGGUCAGAGCGGGGACAAUGCUUUUAACCCUCUAGGCGCUUGAACAUACAUACACCUGGGGCUAUGAGUGAGCCGUCCCAGACUCGGACAGGAACAUCGGGUUCUUAUUGAUCCUUUUGUGCCAACGUCCCAGCGAGGCGCUCAAUCAGAGUCCCCCCUGCUAGUGAGGUGGCUGUGGCUGCAGCUGGAGGGCCAACUUGGUGGUGCCGCCCCAUCCAUACCUGUCCCACCUCACCUAGGAAAUCGACACCGUAGCGGCGGGUUAGUGUCUCAGUGACUUCAGUCGUUUACCAGCAAGCUAAGUGGCUGUGAUUGAACUUGUGGUGAGUUGGGGGUUGGCUGCUGUCUUAACCAAAGAUGACUUUAACAGGCGGCCUGAGACGGGCGGGCCUGGGCCUGCCUCUCCAGCUGGCCUUCAGGAAAACAGACAGACCUGCGUCAGUAAGCAGAGCUGCAGUUGAGAAACUAGUUCCAGGCUUAGUCUCUGGGCAUUCAUUAUGCUAACCUUGGGCUAUGAGAGAGAGGAACUGCAGCCUCAGAUUCCUCACCUGAGAGAUGGUGGGCUCGCCUGCCCUUGCUGGCAGUACCAUGGGCACAGAGGACGACCUACCGGGAAUGCACCUCCCACAGCUUCUGGUUCAUGCGGUAGUCCCACACGGUGACGAGCCCCUCCUCGCCUCCACUGACGAUCUUCCACUCGUCCAUCUGGACUGAGGCGACGCCCAGCUGAUGGGCAGAGAGCGACAGGGCGAUUUUAUCCGUGCGGAGGUCGUGGAUCCUCACCCUACAGGAGCAGAGAAGACGGGACCAGGUUACAGCUACAUCUGACAGGUGCCUCACAGCUGUGUGGGGGCCUUCUCCUUUUUUGAUGACCAAGCAUGAAGUCCCUUUUCCGGGAUCGGUUUCUCCUGAGAGUUCGUCCACGUAUGUGAGUUGCAGCCAAGGGCAUUCUGGCUGUCCGUCCCUGCAGGCAGGUGUGCGUGUGCAGUGGUGGUCCAGUGCACGGUCCUUCUCCUGCAGCCCUCUUCCUGCUUGUCCUCACGGUCCAGCUCCCAUGUGUGCCAGAGCCCAGCAGAGGGAAGGAAACAGAAGGAAGGGCAGCACUGAGUACAACCAUCUGCACAAGCAUCAGCUUGAGACCCAAAGGACUAGACGGAGCCUGGCUACUGGCUACCACCACCCACCGCUCUAUUCCAACUCAUCGUGACCCUGGAAGACAGUAUGACGACCGUGUGGGUUUCUGCG
This is a long non-coding RNA of Echinops telfairi (small Madagascar hedgehog), 1771 nucleotides long. RefSeq lists it as uncharacterized. The record is from RefSeq and is a predicted model, not a curated record. The transcript is spliced from 3 exons. NCBI's taxonomy places the organism in Eukaryota, Metazoa, Chordata, Mammalia, Afrosoricida, Tenrecidae.